UUCAUUCUCAAACUCUAGAACUAGGGAGGGACUCAAGAAUGGUCAUAGCCUGGCAAGAUCUGAUAGUCUAACACAUGUAUUUUAUGCCCCUCCUUGGGAAUUGGGAUUCACAUUAACCUAUUAAAGGCUCUGAGAAGUCUUGCAGGAAGUAACCCUAUGCAUUUCUUCAGUGCAGCGUUUUCAGAUUUCACUCCAGCAUCCACUGCUCUCCACCACCAGAGAACACCAGUGAAUAGCCUGGGAUGCAAACACUUUGGAAAUGCUGUUCUGUGCCAUUCUUUAGCUUGAGUAGCAUUAUCACGAUCAGUGAGUUUUAUUGGUGAACAAGAGACGGUAGAAGAAGAAACACAGCCAGCAGUGACUUUGCCUCCAGCACACUGCAGAGCUUCUCUCUCUCGGGAAGAGAGGGGAUCGGGGUCGUCACAGUGCACCCAUCUCAUGGGCUGUUCCUGGGGGCCGUGCUCUGGAGCCCUGGAGACACAGCAGCAAAUCCUUCCAAGUCCAGGCCUCCUGGAGAACGCUGUCCACACAAGAAGCCAGGUAAGUGAAUGCUCACUCGGUCUGUAGCCCUCAUUCUGCGCUCCAGCUCUUUGAUCCCUCUGAGGGCAUCCAGAAGAGCAGCUAAUUCAGCAAUAGGACAUUCACUGUAAAGAUGUUACUACUGCACAAUUUUUGUUCCAUUGUAUUACCUUGAAUAUAUAACGAGCUCUUCUGAUAGCAAAAGUAUUUUUCCUAUUCCCUUGUCAAGAGGAAACAAAUCAC
Molecule: long non-coding RNA, 762 nt
Filed under: Fukomys damarensis (Damara mole-rat)
Lineage: Eukaryota; Metazoa; Chordata; Mammalia; Rodentia; Bathyergidae
Description: lncRNA (ENSFDAG00000032102.1)
Source: RNAcentral